ACAGUUUUGGCUGAUUGACGUCUCUGACAAAAUCGAAUGUACGCGCGCCAAAAGUGUUUUUGGUUUUUUCGCUUCUACAGUUUCCUUUUCGUUUUCGGGAUUAUUGAAAUUAAAACUGUUAUCUGGUUCUACAAUUAAUUUAUAUCCCGUCUAAAGCAUCCGUAAAUUCCUCACAAUGUUGAUUUGAUUAAAUCACAAGUUAUUGACACCGAUAGAGAACUAUUUAUAUACCGUCAAGGGGCGGAAAGGGAAAUUGGAGCAGCACAGGAUCGGCAGCCGAGGAAAAACGGUGACCGCGAAAUAGCCUAUCACAAAAUGUUGAGAAUGAACCUUGUGCCCCCUAGUUGGCAAAAACCUAAGGAACCGGAGCGGGAGCAAAACAAGGCACUUUCCGCUGAAAACUUCUACGUGACCUUCCUGGAACGAUCGGCUAAUCCGAAACAAGCACCAAUUACGUCUCAGCAAAAUAGCCCGCUUAUACUGAACCCCAGGCUGAACUUUUCCAUAGCCUGCCGGAAAUUAUUCACUUGCACACCAUCCAUGAGUAUUCGGAGGAAUUUGUUACUGGAACGUUACGCUCAUAUGUAAUUCUCCAUGCUGGCCACAAAAGAACUGCCGGAGCAGAAAAACAUGCGAUUAUCAAACAUGUAUUAGUCCCUGCCAUGAGCUCGCCCAGCUCUACGGCGAACCCAGUAUCCAGAAGGUAGCUAAAGCUGGAAGGGUACGAAGGGCAGGGCAUGUUGCAAGAA
This is a long non-coding RNA of Armigeres subalbatus, 749 nucleotides long. RefSeq lists it as uncharacterized. The record is from RefSeq and is a predicted model, not a curated record. The transcript has 3 exons. Lineage: Eukaryota; Metazoa; Arthropoda; Insecta; Diptera; Culicidae.